ACUAGCAUUCUCCCUGAUGCACCUAGCCACCCUAUCCCACAUACUAUCCACGUCCCCCUAUACUCCCACACCCCCAUUCCCGCCAACUUCUCUCCUAUCUCCCAUGUAUUUACUGCGUCAAGCCAUCUCACUUAAUUCUAGGUCUACACUCCUUACCCCUUCUCUUCCUAUUCUUCUUUAUACCCAAAUCCAUAACCAAGAGCCUAUGUUGGGUCGAAAGAUUCUCACUCGGGAUGACCUUACAGUCCUUACACAAUACCCUAUCCCCUUUCCUAAG
This 277-nucleotide long non-coding RNA is filed under the name Capsicum annuum. RNAcentral's name for it is "long non-coding RNA (CANN_LNC014597)". Lineage: Eukaryota; Viridiplantae; Streptophyta; Magnoliopsida; Solanales; Solanaceae. The record is from RNAcentral.